This 292-nucleotide ribosomal RNA is filed under the name uncultured bacterium. RNAcentral's name for it is "partial 16S ribosomal RNA". It matches the Rfam family "Bacterial small subunit ribosomal RNA", at positions 505 to 796 of the family's 1533-position model. The record is from RNAcentral.
GUGUCAGCCGCCGCGGUAAUACGGAGGGGGCCAGCGUUGUUCGGAAUCAUUGGGCGUAAAGGGCGCGUAGGCGGCCGGGUAAGUCUGACGUGAAAUCCCUUGGCUCAACCAAGGAAUUGCGUCUUAAACUGCUCGGCUUGAGUCCGGGAGAGGGUAGUGGAAUUCCCAGUGUAGCGGUGAAAUGCGUAGAUAUUGGGAGGAACACCGGUGGCGAAGGCGGCUACCUGGACCGGUACUGACGCUGAGGCGCGAAAGCUAGGGUAGCAAACAGGAUUAGAAACCCCUGUAGUCC